AACGAACGCUGGCGGCAUGCCUAACACAUGCAAGUCGAACGAGACCUUCGGGUCUAUUGGCGCACGUGUGCGUAACACGUGGUAACCUACCCUUAAGUUCGGAAUACCUCCCCGAAAGGUGUGCUAAUACCACAUGAUGUCUUCGCACCAAAGAUUUCUCGCCUUUGGAUGGGCGCUGGUUGGAUUAGCUGGUUGGUAGUGUAAAAGCAUGCCAAGGCGACGAUGCAGAGCUGGUCUGUGAGGAUGAUCAGCCAGACUGGGACUGAGACACGGCCCAGACUCGUACGGGAGGGAGCAGUGGGGAAUAUUGGAGGAUGAGCGAAAGCCUGAUCAAGCAAUGCCGGGUGAGUGAGGAAGGCGGUAGGGUUGUAAAGCUCUUUUACCCGAGAUGAUAAUGACAGUACCGGGAGAAUAAGCACCGGCUAACUCCGUG
RNAcentral lists this ribosomal RNA (433 nucleotides) under uncultured bacterium. Its description in RNAcentral is "partial 16S ribosomal RNA". It matches the Rfam family "Bacterial small subunit ribosomal RNA", at positions 29 to 507 of the family's 1533-position model. The record is from RNAcentral.